This is a long non-coding RNA of Oryza brachyantha (malo sina), 509 nucleotides long. RefSeq lists it as uncharacterized. The record is from RefSeq and is a predicted model, not a curated record. Lineage: Eukaryota; Viridiplantae; Streptophyta; Magnoliopsida; Poales; Poaceae. The transcript has 3 exons.
GCUCUCGAGCCGUCGUCCAUUUCCUCGCCCAACGCCGGCGGCCGAACGAGUCCCGUGCCCCUGGCGCCGUCGGCUGGACGGAGGAGAUCGAGGCGACGCGAACGGCUCCACCGCGCGGCCGCCCGCCGCUUCCUCGCCGCAGGAUCGUCCAAGGGUUGGCGAGACCUACUACGACAGCCGGUGCUUUCAGAAGUUGUAAAAUCCUACUCGGCAGUUCCACCCAAAGGGAGCACUUCUCUUACGGAUGUAGUUUCUCCUGAUGCCUACGAGACGUAUCGACAUAUUUUCUCUUCUGAUUUAGAUGAAUAUUUAUUAGGCCUCUGUUUUAACACAGCUCCCCAACCUUGUUGAGAUGCAUCUGUUUCAUUAAUAAUGAAGUAGUUAUUGUCUAAAGGCAGUUCCAAGGGUUUUAACCCUUUGACCCUUUCCUUUAUUAUUCUUACUAACCUUAUGUCUUCAGAAUUAAAAUAUCUUUGGCCAUUUUUUCUUAAUUUUGCAUAUAAGGGUCC